CUCGGUUAAACAUCGCAGCAGGCAUUACAAUACCAGAGGUAACGAAUCAAUUAAAUCCAUUUUCCCCUCGGCGUCUCCAAAGCUGCGUGCCUAGUGUUGCUGUGUAGUUUAGAACCGGAGCAGUAGGACCCAGGGGCCUCCGCAGCCACCAAUAGAAGCGCACACUUGGACCUAUUUGUAUGCAAUGCCUUCUGCUCUGCGCAUUAAUAGUAAUACAGAUAACGGGUUUGAAAGAAUUCUCUACCGAAGAAGGAUUGAAUUUUUCCAGGGUGCUGAUACCGAGAAGAAACCCGACUUCACUCUCUCCCCAUUUUCCCACUCUUAGGUUGAAAAGUCUCAGACACCUUUCGCUUGGUUUAAACUCGGAAAGGUCUCAGUGCACAGCAAAGUUGGAGGGGCUGCGUCUGCACUACGGCGCCGCUAGAUCGCUGAAAACAGGCUUAUCCAAGGUGGAUAGCUGCCACGGAGUUGUAUUUUACUCAUGA
RNAcentral lists this long non-coding RNA (485 nucleotides) under Macaca mulatta (Rhesus monkey). RNAcentral describes it as "lncRNA (ENSMMUG00000051022.1)". Lineage: Eukaryota; Metazoa; Chordata; Mammalia; Primates; Cercopithecidae. The record is from RNAcentral.